RNAcentral lists this long non-coding RNA (2065 nucleotides) under Volvox carteri. RNAcentral's name for it is "long non-coding RNA (VCAR_LNC001936)". Lineage: Eukaryota; Viridiplantae; Chlorophyta; Chlorophyceae; Chlamydomonadales; Volvocaceae. The record is from RNAcentral.
UGAAUCGCGCGACUGGCAAAAGUCCGUUUUUCCUGAAUUACGGAUACAACCCUGCCUUGCCUGUUCGGUGGGAGUUGGACGUCAACUUGCCUGCAGCAAAGACGUUUGCCAAGGCCUUUGUGUCCCGACUGACUGACACUAAAUCUUGCCAGAUCUUUAUGGCUCUGACCUCUGGGUCAGACGGUGAGCGGGACGCUGUCAUGGAUGUCUACAAGUAAAUGCCGCCUCAGGUGGAAGUCCAUACUUGCAGAAGUAUGGGCGGGGGUCGUAGCACAGGCUACGACUGGGACGCUGGUCCCUGGCUCACGGAGCCCCAUCAUCGAUUGGAAGCAUGGAUCAACAGUACGCCAUUCCGGACUGGACCAUGCCUUUUCGGAAUUGGCUGUACGAUUCAUGGGAUGGCCGCAUCCUCCGCUAUUUAAGCGGGCAAAACCCUCCCAAAUCGGUGACUUCCAAUGCCACCAUCCAGUUGUGGUUUAGUAAGAUACAACAAUCUCAGUGGUGGCGGCACCCAUCUCCAUGUUGGGCUGAAUGGGCAGGGCAGAAUGGGGGAAAGUGGGACAUGGCAAGGGUAGGGACAGGGUGUGAGGAAUUGAAAGCAAGGCACAGUGGUGGCUUUGUGCCCAGCAUGAACAAAGGCAGGCGACUGGGUUUCUGUGAGGUGGCCAUCAUGCAACAUGAGUUGCACCAGGUGCCAUACCCUAACAUAUGUGCAUGUAUGACAGACAACCCAACACCUGUUCAGCAGCUUGGCUAUCACUCCUGGUGCCUGUACAAACCCGUGGCUUGCAGCCUGACAUGCCCACUGUUGUAUCCUGUAAAGCUUUCUGCACGGUUUGGGCUCAGAAUCCUAACUGUCGGUGGUUAGCUUGUCCAGUUCGAUUUACCAAACUUCACUGUUACUUACGAAUACCUGUCAAUCCCACUGUUGGUGAUUACAGGUCUAACUAAUACUGAUAUUAGUUUACUUGCGGCUACUGUUAGCUGUUGUGGCUAAAGCGACUACUGAUAGUCGUCCACCAUUCAAACACCACACUGCUGUGGAAGUCCAUAUCUGCAUAUGGGUGUAUUGCGGCUACUGUUAGCUGCGGCAGCUAAAGCGACUACUGAUACUCGUCCACCAUCUUAAUGCUGCACUGCUGUGGAAGUCCAUACCUGCAUAUGGGUGGGGGAUUUACCUCUGUAAAGCUGGGACCUGUGUCCCUGUUUCGUCUAACUGAGUAGUUCCUGCAAGCUAUGGCUACUGGAUACUGUAUCACCCAGUUGUACUGGGGACUUAUUGGCAUGAGGCCCAAGUGGAGUCACUGAUGACUAUUCAUCUAAUACACUUGUCUCAAUCGGUAUCUUUUGAUGCCCCCAUUAUGUGGUUGUGUCAUCUGAGCUAUACAACACCCACUUACCUGCUGCAGCCCACUGCCUGGCGCUGGUGCCAUCCCUGGCUGCGGCAGCUGCAUUGCCCCCUACUGCCCAUCCUCUUCCCCUGCUUCAGCACCUUCGGCAGCCAUGGCAGCAUCCACCUCAGCGGUGGUGGCACCCAUCUCCAUGUUGGGCUGAAUGGGCAGGGCAGAAUGGGAAAAGUUGGGACAUGGCAAGGGUGGGGGCAGGCUGUGAGCAGGCCAAAUCACACUGUUUGUGAACUAGGUAACACAGGGAUCACAGACACAGGAUAUGGGUUAAAUGCCAGUUCCCUGGGAGCUCCUCACAUUUACAUGAACCCAUGGUUUGGUUCCCUUGUAAAUUGGUAACUUGUCUCUAAAAGCCCACCUGCUCUGUUGAAGAAGACGUGUUCCCAUGCUGUAAGCUGGGAAAUGGCAGUGAAGCCAGGCCAAGGUUUAAUCACUACCAUGUGCCAAAUGCCAGUUGCCACGUGAUAGCCUGCCAAAUUGUGCACUCCACACGUUAUCCAAAGAACACAGAAUGAAGAUAUUCAAUAAGCCAGACCUACCUGCCAUGCAGUUUGUGCUUGGUUGCCCUCUGCCCCCUUAUGUAGCAGUAACGCAGUCACUGCCGCGGAUAGCGGAAGAGUUUGUAGCAGCGGCUCUACCUCGGUCGGGUCCACUACGCC